Cinara cedri is the source of this 259-nucleotide non-coding RNA. Lineage: Eukaryota; Metazoa; Arthropoda; Insecta; Hemiptera; Aphididae. The record is from the annotation of a GenBank genome assembly.
UACUAUUAUUUACCAAUUAAAAUAUGAAGAGAUACAGUAUACAGCAGUGGUUUUCAAUCGAUGUGCCGCGAGCGCCCGUGAAGUGUGCCGCGAUAAAUCUGUUAUAGUUUAAUAAUUUUGUGUUUACACUUCCUGAGACAACUUCCUGAGGUUUGGGAUCAAAUUGUGAAAGUGAUAAAUUAUAUAUAAAGUAGUUCACUAAAGCCAAGGUUGUUUGAAAAAAUUUGUGAAGGUAUGAAUUCAAAUAACUCAAAGUUAC